Molecule: non-coding RNA, 45 nt
Organism: Schistosoma haematobium
Lineage: Eukaryota; Metazoa; Platyhelminthes; Trematoda; Strigeidida; Schistosomatidae
Source: Rfam
AUCCGGCUGCCGAGUCCCAAAUAAGACGAAAAGUGCAUCCUGGAU